This 710-nucleotide ribosomal RNA is filed under the name Gordonia sp. (in: high G+C Gram-positive bacteria). RNAcentral describes it as "bacterial SSU rRNA". It matches the Rfam family "Bacterial small subunit ribosomal RNA", at positions 87 to 811 of the family's 1533-position model. The record is from RNAcentral. Lineage: Bacteria; Bacillati; Actinomycetota; Actinomycetes; Mycobacteriales; Gordoniaceae.
GUACUCGAGUGGCGAACGGGUGAGUAACACGUGGGUGAUCUGCCCCGAACUUUGGGAUAAGCCUGGGAAACUGGGUCUAAUACCGAAUAGGACCUUACAUCGCAUGGUGUUUGGUGGAAAGCUUUUGCGGUUUGGGAUGGGCCCGCGGCCUAUCAGCUUGUUGGUGGGGUAAUGGCCUACCAAGGCGACGACGGGUAGCCGACCUGAGAGGGUGAUCGGCCACACUGGGACUGAGACACGGCCCAGACUCCUACGGGAGGCAGCAGUGGGGAAUAUUGCACAAUGGGCGCAAGCCUGAUGCAGCGACGCCGCGUGAGGGAUGACGGCCUUCGGGUUGUAAACCUCUUUCACCAGGGACGAAGCGUGAGUGACGGUACCUGGAGAAGAAGCACCGGCCAACUACGUGCCAGCAGCCGCGGUAAUACGUAGGGUGCAAGCGUUGUCCGGAAUUACUGGGCGUAAAGAGCUCGUAGGCGGUUUGUCGCGUCGUCUGUGAAAUUCUGCAACUCAAUUGUAGGCGUGCAGGCGAUACGGGCAGACUUGAGUACUACAGGGGAGACUGGAAUUCCUGGUGUAGCGGUGAAAUGCGCAGAUAUCAGGAGGAACACCGGUGGCGAAGGCGGGUCUCUGGGUAGUAACUGACGCUGAGGAGCGAAAGCGUGGGUAGCGAACAGGAUUAGAUACCCUGGUAGUCCACGCCGUAAACGGUG